This 497-nucleotide ribosomal RNA is filed under the name uncultured bacterium. RNAcentral describes it as "partial 16S ribosomal RNA". The stretch from base 54 to 497 matches the Rfam family "Bacterial small subunit ribosomal RNA", at positions 39 to 507 of the family's 1533-position model. The record is from RNAcentral.
GGGGGGGGGGGGGGGGGGGGGGGGGGGGUGGGGGGGGGGGGGAGAGGGGGGGGGCGGGGUGGGCUGGGGUUGGCGGCGGGGGGGGGAGGAAGACGGGGAUGAGCUAGCUGUAAGGCUGGGGUGACUUCGGGAAACGGGCGCUAGUACCGGAUAAUAUAUUGAACCGCAUGGGUCAAUAGUUGCAGACGGUUUUGCUGUCACUUAUAGAUUGAUCCGCGCCGCAUUAGCUAGUUGGUAAGGUACCGGCUUACCAAGGCAACGAUGCGUAGCCGACCUGAGAGGGUGAUCGGCCACACUGGAACGGAGACACGGUCCAGACUCCUACGGGAGGCAGCAGUAGGGAAUCUUCCGCAAUGGGCGAAAGCCUGACGGAGCAACGCCGCGUGAGUGAUGAAGGUCUUCGGAUCGUAAAACUCUGUUAUUAGGGAAGAACAAAUGUGUAAGUAACUAUGCACGUCUUGACGGUACCUAAUCAGAAAGCCACGGCUAACUACGUG